AUGUGGAGGAACACCGAUGGCGAAGGCAGCCCCUGGGUCAAGAUUGACGCUCAUGCACGAAAGCGUGGGGAGCAAACAGGAUUAGAUACCUGGUAGUCCACGCCCUAAACGAUGUCUACUAGUUGUCGGGUCUUAAUUGACUUGGUAACGCAGCUAACGCGUGAAGUAGACCGCCUGGGGAGUACGGUCGCAAGAUUAAAACUCAAAGGAAUUGACGGGGACCCGCACAAGCGGUGGAUGAUGUGGAUUAAUUCGAUGCAACGCGAAAAACCUUACCUACCCUUGACAUGGCUGGAAUCCUUGAGAGAUCAGGGAGUGCUCGAAAGAGAACCAGUACACAGGUGCUGCAUGGCUGUCGUCAGCUCGUGUCGUGAGAUGUUGGGUUAAGUCCCGCAACGAGCGCAACCCUUGUCAUUAGUUGCUACGAAAGGGCACUCUAAUGAGACUGCCGGUGACAAACCGGAGGAAGGUGGGGAUGACGUCAAGUCCUCAUGGCCCUUAUGGGUAGGGCUUCACACGUCAUACAAUGGUACAUACAGAGCGCCGCCAACCCGCGAGGGGGAGCUAAUCGCAGAAAGUGUAUCGUAGUCCGGAUUGUAGUCUGCAACUCGACUGCAUGAAGUUGGAAUCGCUAGUAAUCGCGGAUCAGCAUGUCGCGGUGAAUACGUUCCCGGGUCUUGUACACACCGCCCGUCACACCAUGGGAGCGGGCUUUACCAGAAGUAGGUAGCUUAACCGCAAGGAGGGCGCUUACCACGGUAGGAUUCGUGACUGGGGUGAAGUCGUAACAAGGUAGCCGUAUCGGAAGGUGCGGCUGGAUCACCUCCUU
Molecule: ribosomal RNA, 829 nt
Filed under: uncultured bacterium
Lineage: Bacteria
Description: bacterial SSU rRNA
Rfam family: Bacterial small subunit ribosomal RNA
Source: RNAcentral